This 71-nucleotide transfer RNA is filed under the name Selaginella moellendorffii. It matches the Rfam family "tRNA". Rfam says of the family: Transfer RNA (tRNA) molecules are approximately 80 nucleotides in length. Their secondary structure includes four short double-helical elements and three loops (D, anti-codon, and T loops). Lineage: Eukaryota; Viridiplantae; Streptophyta; Lycopodiopsida; Selaginellales; Selaginellaceae. The record is from Rfam by way of RNAcentral.
GGGGAUGUAGCUCAGAUGGUAGAGCGCUCGCUUAGCAUGCGAGGCACCGUGAUCGAUACCUGGCAUCUCCA